CCUACGCGAUGGUUCUCAAGAGAGAAGUGCGAGACUGACGGUUGAUGCCAGGAAAAUAAAAAUACGGGGGGAGGGGGCGUGGAGCCGGCGCAAGGGCUCGCGGACGCGCACCUCCGUGGGCGCGCAGAACUUUUAUGGUGGACUGCUCUUUUUCUACACCUGAGACUUUCUUAUCUGAGGAUAAGGCUAUUCUGUAUCCAUGGUGACAUCAAGGCCUUCAGACCCGGAAUGGAACUACACUACAGCUUUCCUGGGUUUCCAGCAUGUAGACAGUAAAUCAUGGACCUUCUCAGCCUCCAUAAUCA
Non-coding RNA from Vicugna pacos (alpaca), 305 nucleotides. The record is from RefSeq and is a predicted model, not a curated record. Lineage: Eukaryota; Metazoa; Chordata; Mammalia; Artiodactyla; Camelidae.